Molecule: ribosomal RNA, 406 nt
Filed under: uncultured bacterium
Lineage: Bacteria
Description: partial 16S ribosomal RNA
Rfam family: Bacterial small subunit ribosomal RNA
Source: RNAcentral
AUUGAACGCUGGCGGCAUGCUUUACACAUGCAAGUCGGACGAGUGGCGAACGGGUGAGUAACGCAUCGGAACGUACCGAGUAAUGGGGGAUAACUGGCCGAAAGGACAGCUAAUACCGCAUAUUAUCCGACCGGCCGUUGCCUGUUUAGCUGGUUGGGGGGGUAAAGGCCCACCAAGGCGACGAUCAGUAGCGGGUCUGAGAGGAUGAGCCGCCACACUGGGACUGAGACACGGCCCAGACUCCUACGGGAGGCAGCAGUGGGGAAUUUUGGACAAUGGGCGCAAGCCUGAUCCAGCCAUGCCGCGUGUAUGAAGAAGGCCUUCGGGUUGUAAAGUACUUUCAGCGGGGAGGCGUUACCCGCAGAAGAAGCACCGGCUAACUCCGUGCCAGCAGCCGCGGUAAUAC